RNAcentral lists this ribosomal RNA (502 nucleotides) under uncultured bacterium. RNAcentral's name for it is "partial 16S ribosomal RNA". It matches the Rfam family "Bacterial small subunit ribosomal RNA", at positions 28 to 507 of the family's 1533-position model. The record is from RNAcentral.
GACGAACACUGGCGGCGUGCCUAAUACAUGCAAGUCGAACGAACCGCGACUAGGUGCUUGCACUUGGUCAAGGUGAGUGGCGAACGGGUGAGUAACACGUGGGUAACCUACCUCAUAGUGGGGGAUAACAGUCGGAAACGACUGCUAAUACCGCAUAGGACAUAGGAUCACAUGAUCCAGUGAGGAAAGGUGGCGCAAGCUAUCGCUAAGAGAUGGACCCGCGGUGCAUUAGCUAGUUGGUAGGGUAAAGGCCUACCAAGGCGAUGAUGCAUAGCCGACCUGAGAGGGUGAUCGGCCACAUUGGGACUGAGACACGGCCCAAACUCCUACGGGAGGCAGCAGUAGGGAAUCUUCCGCAAUGGACGCAAGUCUGACGGAGCAACGCCGCGUGAGUGAAGAAGGUCUUCGGAUCGUAAAGCUCUGUUGUUAGAGAAGAACAGCGCAUAGAGUAACUGUUAUGCGUGUGACGGUAUCUAACCAGAAAGCCACGGCUAACUACGUG